GGAAGCGGAAGAGCAGGUCUCCAGGGGAGCGAUGGCAGCCGGGGGUCUGAGCCGGUCCGAGCGCAAAGCGGCGGAGCGGGUCCGGAGGUUGCGGGAGGAGCAGCAGAGGGAGCGCCUCCGCCAGGUACGCCGCCGCCGCUCCCCGGCCCGGCCAUGCCCGGCCCGCGCCGCCGCUCACCGUCCGCCUGCCCGCAGGUGUCGCGCAUCCUGAGGAAGGCGGCGGCGGAGCGCAGCGCCGAGGAGGGCCGGCUGCUGGCCGAGAGCGCGGACCUGGUAACGGAGCUGCAGGGCCGGAGCCGGCGGCGCGAGGGCCUGAAGCGGCGGCAGGAGGAGGUGUGCGACGACCCGGAGGAGCUGCGGGGGAAGGUCCAGGAGCUGGCCAGCGCCGUCCGGAACGCCAAAUACUUGGUCGUCUACACAGGCGCGGGAAUCAGCACGGCAGCGUCUAUCCCAGACUACCGGGGCCCUAAUGGAGUGUGGACACUGCUUCAGAAAGGGAGAAGCGUUAGUGCUGCCGACCUGAGCGAGGCCGAGCCAACCCUCACCCACAUGAGCAUCACCCGUCUGCAUGAGCAGAAGCUGGUGCAGCAUGUGGUGUCUCAGAACUGUGACGGGCUCCACCUGAGGAGUGGGCUGCCACGCACGGCCAUCUCCGAGCUCCACGGGAACAUGUACAUUGAAGUGAGCAGUCCUGCAGGGACCCGGGGUCUCCAUGGGCAGGCGGGUCCCACUCACUGUGCCCUCUUGCCUCUAGGUCUGUACCUCCUGCGUUCCCAACAGGGAGUACGUGCGGGUGUUCGAUGUGACGGAGCGCACCGCCCUCCACAGACACCAGACAGGCCGGACCUGCCACAAGUGUGGGACCCAGCUGCGGGACACUAUUGUGCACUUUGGGGAGAGGGGGACGUUGGGGCAGCCUCUGAACUGGGAAGCGGCGACCGAGGCUGCCAGCAGAGCAGACACCAUCUUGUGUCUAGGGUCCAGCCUGAAG
This 991-nucleotide small RNA is filed under the name Pan troglodytes (chimpanzee). Its description in RNAcentral is "retained intron". Lineage: Eukaryota; Metazoa; Chordata; Mammalia; Primates; Hominidae. The record is from RNAcentral.